Molecule: ribosomal RNA, 330 nt
Filed under: uncultured bacterium
Lineage: Bacteria
Description: bacterial SSU rRNA
Rfam family: Bacterial small subunit ribosomal RNA
Source: RNAcentral
AGCGUAGGCGGAACUACAAGACAGGGGUCAAAUCUCCGGGCUCAACCUGGAACUUGCCUUUGUGACCGUGGUUCUUGAGUAUGGUAGAGGUUGGCGGAAUUUCCGGUGUAGCGGUGGAAUGCGUAGAGAUCGGAAAGAACACCAGAGGCGAAGGCGGCCAACUGGACCAAUACUGACGCUGAGGCUCGAAAGCGUGGGGAGCAAACAGGAUUAGAUACCCUGGUAGUCCACGCUGUAAACGAUGAACACUAGAUGUCGGGAGGGGUUCCUUCCGGUGUCGUCGCUAACGCAGUAAGUGUUCCGCCUGGGGAGUACGCUCGCAAGGGUGAA